Strigops habroptila (Kakapo) is the source of this 283-nucleotide long non-coding RNA. RefSeq lists it as uncharacterized. The transcript has 4 exons. Lineage: Eukaryota; Metazoa; Chordata; Aves; Psittaciformes; Psittacidae. The record is from RefSeq and is a predicted model, not a curated record.
CAAAGGAAGAAUAUACCUUCCUCUCCAAACACAAAAGCAGAGCCUGAUAGCGCAGAGGGAAGCCUGCGAGCUCAGCCUCUUUUCACUUUCAAGGAAGAAGAAUCCAACCAGAUGUGUACCCAGGAUCUAGAUAGUACACACAAUUCCCCUCUGCAAGGUCAGCUGGCUGGACGAGACUAUAAGGAUAUCAUCAGUAACAUUUCAGACAGGUCACAGAAAUAUGCAGAAUGUGAAGGCUGCAGAAGAGGGAGUCAGCAGCCUGGGGCAGACAACCAGAAUGAUG